GACCGCGACCCCAGGUCAGGCGGAUCC
RNAcentral lists this ribosomal RNA (27 nucleotides) under Echium hierrense. RNAcentral's name for it is "26S ribosomal RNA". The record is from RNAcentral. RNAcentral also lists the same sequence under 1 other name. Lineage: Eukaryota; Viridiplantae; Streptophyta; Magnoliopsida; Boraginales; Boraginaceae.